This 1178-nucleotide long non-coding RNA is filed under the name Neodiprion lecontei (redheaded pine sawfly). Its description in RNAcentral is "uncharacterized LOC124295346". The record is from RNAcentral. Lineage: Eukaryota; Metazoa; Arthropoda; Insecta; Hymenoptera; Diprionidae.
AGUGUCGAGUAAUCCAUCCAUGACUUUCGACCGAUAUGAAGAAUCGACGCUGAAAUAUGCAGAUGAAGUACCUUCAUCUUCAAAAGACUGCUGUGCCAGGUAUAUACUGAACAUGAUUGAGAUCUGCAACUUAUUCGCUUGAACACAGCCUGGAAGAUCGAAAGGCACAAAAUGAAUCCAGCAAGGGCUCCAAGAAAGCACUGAGUUGAAAAUGUACAAAAUUGUACGAAACGAUGCUACAAGACAACUUUGACGGAGUCUAUAAUGUGUACGGUAACACCUUAAAAAUGGUGUGAUGUGGGAAAACUACGACCCUAAAGACGAUAUUCUGCAGCUUAGAAAUGCGACGAAGAUGAUGUGGAGACGUCUGACGCUGAAGGUUGAUUGAUGCGUUGAGUACACGCUUGAUUUCGAAAUAGCGAUCAGCAUGACAAUACAAGAAGCAAGGCAUGUAGCAUUAUAAUGUAGCAGCAUAAUUAUUAGACUGAUCCUUAAAAAAGUCAUUGUUGUAUUUGAACCGGCUCAGCACCUCCUAGAUCGGGUAAAAAGAAAUUUGAAAAAAUUGGGUCAAAAUUUCGGCAUUCUAGUUCAAUUAAAACGGGUGCCUGUGAGCAUAAAUUCAUUUUGAGUAUCGAAUUUGGGCAAGAACCGCUAAUAAUCACCGAUGAUGAAAAUUCUAUGUGAAAAAUGAACUAUUCACAUCCGCUAUUUUAACAGUAUUUCCAUUGUAGUGGGGAAAUGAGGAAAAAAUCAUAGCUUUGUAUGCUGACACUCUUGAAACAAUUUAAUCCAUGGCAGAAAAAUUCUUAGAAUAUUGAAGAUAAAAAGAGAUGAAUAAUUUAUAAUUUAAUCACAAAUCAAUCAGUCCUUAUUCCCAAUUCGCACUUAUGAUUCAUCACUUGAAGUUGGCGAUCGAUCAUCGUCAUCGAGGGUUUUUGUGCAUUUCCAAUAUUCAAAGAAUUUUCUAAUUUUUUUUUUAUAAGCAAUCUUCUGUAUCUUUUUCAGAUAAGCUUUCUAACGACCACUCCAAUGAUAUAUGAUAUUGAAGACGAUUUUUCCUUGACCUUGAUGACUUGUUGACUAAUGUUAUUCUUGGAUAUGAAGGUCACAACUCAAAACACUUUUUUAUAGUGUUAACGUUUCAGCCCUGAUGGGGGCGCUCCUCAGAACCAAUUUAU